GUUGAUCCUGAAAGUUGGAAACUUCUUGAACUACGGAAGUCACACAGGAGAUGCCGACGGCUUUAAAAUUGGCACUUUGCUCAAGCUAACAGAAACUAAAGCAAACCAGACUCGCAUUACGCUGCUCCACCAUAUUUUGGAGGAAGUAGAAAAGAAUCACAGACUUGCUGCAGCUUCCCAAAGACAUUGAAUACGUUUCAAAGGCAGCAGGGUAGGAACGCAUUGU
Lacerta agilis (Sand lizard) is the source of this 226-nucleotide long non-coding RNA. RefSeq lists it as uncharacterized. The record is from RefSeq and is a predicted model, not a curated record. The transcript is spliced from 3 exons. NCBI's taxonomy places the organism in Eukaryota, Metazoa, Chordata, Lepidosauria, Squamata, Lacertidae.